RNAcentral lists this ribosomal RNA (764 nucleotides) under uncultured Desulfovibrio sp. RNAcentral describes it as "bacterial SSU rRNA". It matches the Rfam family "Bacterial small subunit ribosomal RNA", at positions 28 to 772 of the family's 1533-position model. Lineage: Bacteria; Pseudomonadati; Thermodesulfobacteriota; Desulfovibrionia; Desulfovibrionales; Desulfovibrionaceae. The record is from RNAcentral.
AUUGAACGCUGGAGGCGUGCUUAACACAUGCAAGUCGUGCGAGAAAGGGACUUCGGUCCUGAGUAGAGCGGCGCACGGGUGAGUAACGCGUGGGUAAUCUCCCUUCGUGACUGGGAUAACAGUGGGAAACUGCUGCUAAUACCGGAUAAUCUUCAUGUUUAACUUCAUGGGGAAAAGGUGGCCUCUGCUUGCAAGCUACCACACAAAGAUGAGCCCGCGUCUCAUUAGCUAGUUGGUAGGGUAAUGGCCUACCAGGGCUACGAUGAGUAGCUGGUCUGAGAGGAUGACCAGCCACACUGGGACUGGAACACGGCCCAGACUCCUACGGGAGGCAGCAGUGGGGAAUAUUGCGCAAUGGGCGAAAGCCUGACGCAGCGACGCCUCGUGAGGGAUGAAGGUCUUCGGAUCGUAAACCUCUGUCAAGAGGGAAGAAACCCUUGGAUUCGAAUAGGGUCCUUGGCUGACGGUACCUCAAAAGGAAGCACCGGCUAACUCCGUGCCAGCAGCCGCGGUAAUACGGAGGGUGCAAGCGUUAAUCGGAAUCACUGGGCGUAAAGCGCUCGUAGGCGGUUUGGUCAGUCAGAUGUGAAAGCCCUCGGCUUAACCGGGGAACUGCAUUUGAUACUGCCAGACUUGAGUGUCGGAGAGGGUGGCGGAAUUCCGGGUGUAGGAGUGAAAUCCGUAGAUAUCCGGAGGAACACCAGUGGCGAAGGCGGCCACCUGGACGACAACUGACGCUGAGGAGCGAAAGCGUGGGGAGCAAA